This 245-nucleotide ribosomal RNA is filed under the name uncultured bacterium. RNAcentral's name for it is "partial 16S ribosomal RNA". It matches the Rfam family "Bacterial small subunit ribosomal RNA", at positions 1247 to 1500 of the family's 1533-position model. The record is from RNAcentral.
AAGCCACCUGGCGACAGGGAGCGGAACCCGAAAGCCUGUCUCAGUUCGGAUUGGAGUCUGCAACCCGACUCCAUGAAGCUGGAUUCGCUAGUAAUCGCGCAUCAGCCACGGCGCGGUGAAUACGUUCCCGGGCCUUGUACACACCGCCCGUCAAGCCAUGGAAGCCGGGGGUGCCUGAAGUGCGCUGCCGCAAGGAGCGCCCUAGGGUAAAACCGGUGACUGGGGCUAAGUCGUAACAAGGUAGC